AAUUUUUAAAUAUAUUUGUUUAUCUCUAUCUCUAUCUUUAAAUCAGUUUAAAAUACUGUAUUUAUUUACCUAUGUGCCAAUUACUCACUCUAGUGGAUUCAAAGGCAUGGUCUGUGUUUUUAAGAAAUUUAAAAUCUAACUGUGGUGUCAAGUCCAGUCCAUGUUAUUAUGCAACUGAAAACUUGAGUAUAAAAAUCAAGUAUUAAAUUAGUUAACAUCUCAAGAAUCCUGAGAGUAUAGCUUCCACGAGUUAGAGUAAUUAAGGAAGUCUUUGUGCAGAUGAGACUUGAACAGGCCCUACACAAAGAGGGAAGCUAUAAUAAUAUGAACAAAGAUGUAAAAAUAGGAACCCAUUCCUCUAUUUAUUCUAAUACCCAAUAUUUAUUGAAUAGUGUUUGUCAAAAGUAUGUUAAGUGCUAGAAAUGCAAAAA
Long non-coding RNA from Phyllostomus discolor (pale spear-nosed bat), 431 nucleotides. RefSeq lists it as uncharacterized. The record is from RefSeq and is a predicted model, not a curated record. The transcript has 2 exons. Lineage: Eukaryota; Metazoa; Chordata; Mammalia; Chiroptera; Phyllostomidae.